This 382-nucleotide ribosomal RNA is filed under the name Portunus pelagicus (sand crab). RNAcentral describes it as "partial 12S ribosomal RNA". It matches the Rfam family "Microsporidia small subunit ribosomal RNA", at positions 751 to 1211 of the family's 1311-position model. Lineage: Eukaryota; Metazoa; Arthropoda; Malacostraca; Decapoda; Portunidae. The record is from RNAcentral.
CCCCUUUUCCUAAAAUACCUGCAGUAGUAACAGAUAUAUUCUAAAAAUUUGAAAAAUUUGGCGGUGGUUUAGUCUUGUCAGAGGAACCUGUCUUUUAAACGAUACACCACGAAAUAUCUUACUUGAGUUCGUGCAGUAUGUAUACCAUCAUUAUUAGGUAAUUUUUAUAGAAUAAAUUACUGAAAAAUGUCCAUAAUGUUGAAUAUAUUAGAUCAAGGUGCAGCUAAUGCUCAAGUUAAGAUGGGUUACAAUAGUAUUUAUACUAUUACGGAUAAGUAAGUGAAACUUUACUUUGAAGGAGGAUUUGAUUGUAAUUUUAGUUUAAUAAGGUAAUUUGAUAUAAGCUCUAAAGCAUGUACACACCGCCCGCCACCACUACACA